UUUUAUUACUUGUGAGUUGUAGAUUUUUCUUAUGCGGUGAAUCCCCCUUUGCGGCGGGGCGUCCAGUCAAAUAGUUAAUGUUCCUCGCGAACCAUAUUGACUGUGGUAUGGUUCACCGGGAGGCACCCGGCACCGCAAUUUUUUAUAAAAUGAAAUUCACACCCUAUGGUUCAGAGCGGUGUCUUUUUACAU
Salmonella enterica subsp. enterica serovar Typhimurium is the source of this 192-nucleotide small RNA. It matches the Rfam family "Gammaproteobacterial sRNA STnc100". The record is from Rfam. Lineage: Bacteria; Pseudomonadati; Pseudomonadota; Gammaproteobacteria; Enterobacterales; Enterobacteriaceae.